AGUGAACGCUGGCGGUAGGCCUAACACAUGCAAGCCGAACGGCAGCACAGUAAGAGCUUGCUCUUACGGGUGGCGAGUGGCGGACGGGUGAGGAAUACAUCGGAAUCUACUUUUUCGUGGGGGAUAACGUAGGGAAACUUACGCUAAUACCGCAUACGACCUACGGUUGAAAGCAGGGGAUCUUCGGACCUUGCGCGAUUGAAUGAGCCGAUGUCGGAUUAGCUAGUUGGCGGGGUAAAGGCCCACCAAGGCGACGAUCCGUAGCUGGUCUGAGAGGAUGAUCAGCCACACUGGAACUGAGACACGGUCCAGACUCCUACGGGAGGCAGCAGUGGGGAAUAUUGGACAAUGGGCGCAAGCCUGAUCCAGCCAUACCGCGUGGGUGAAGAAGGCCUUCGGGUUGUAAAGCCCUUUUGUUGGGAAAGAAAAGCAGCAGGUUAAUACCCCGCUGUUCUGACGGUACCCAAAGAAUAAGCACCGGCUAACUUCGUG
This 492-nucleotide ribosomal RNA is filed under the name uncultured bacterium. RNAcentral describes it as "partial 16S ribosomal RNA". It matches the Rfam family "Bacterial small subunit ribosomal RNA", at positions 29 to 507 of the family's 1533-position model. The record is from RNAcentral.